GCCCAUGUGGUUCAGUGGUUAGAGUGUCCGUCUGGGAACUGGAAGGUCACAUGUUCGAUUCCUGGUCAAGGGCA
Non-coding RNA from Miniopterus natalensis, 74 nucleotides. The record is from the annotation of a RefSeq genome assembly. NCBI's taxonomy places the organism in Eukaryota, Metazoa, Chordata, Mammalia, Chiroptera, Miniopteridae.